Molecule: non-coding RNA, 980 nt
Organism: Sus scrofa (pig)
Lineage: Eukaryota; Metazoa; Chordata; Mammalia; Artiodactyla; Suidae
Source: RefSeq, a predicted model, not a curated record
CUUACCCGGCAAGGUUCACCUUCCCUAGGGCUCAUGGAGACUCCUCAGGUGCGCUAGCUCCUAAUUAUUCCAAUUCAACAGCAUGCACAGGGCGAGGAAAGAGCCAGGUUUAUCUGGUGAAUUGAUUGCUGAGCACGUAGAUCCCGUCUUAAGGCCGAUGGGCAUCAGGUGAGGUUGCUGCUGUGAUCCCCUUCCGGUUGCUAUCCCAACUUGCGGAGUCCGGACUGGCCCUCCUCUUUCAGCCCUACUGUCCCGUGAACCUUCUCAGCACCGCAGCAAGAAAGGAAAGGGCUGAACCUGCCAGAACCAAGGGUCCAUGAACAGUGACAGAUCUGGAGAAUGACCAAAGGCCCAUGACUGUCCUCCAGACGGAAUGGAAAGAUAUCACAGUGGGAUGGAGGCAAGAAAGCCAGAUCAGAGAUUAAUGCCUCUCUCCUGGGCUGAGCUUGCCCUGGCGACACGCAAGCCCUUCUAGGUCCGAGAAAUGGGAUAAUGAGAUGCCCAAUUAAGGUGAAGUUCCUUGAAUGCUGGCUCCAGCAACACCACCUGGCUUGCAGGAAAGAGCUUUCAACUGGUGAUGGGACAAGGAACAGAUGACCUUGGGGACCAUUGUCCUUUCUUGCAUCUGAAUGGCCAUUCUCAGGGCAGCUCUGGACAGAGGCAGCUUCAAGGCAAACAAAACGUGGCUCCUUGGUCUCUGGCAGGUGAGGGAGAGGACCCCAAAAAGCCUCCUUGGAGAAUUAGGGUCUUGCAGCUGUGUACCCUGUCACAAGCUGCCUUUCAGACUGUAACUGGCCCUAACACUGGAGGGAGCUGGGAAGCUCUCAAGACAGAAGUAACAUCCUCCUCCUGCCUCCCAAAAAAGGUAGAGACAGAAGAGCUUCAUCCAUAAUAAAUGUAAUGAAGGUCAUCAUUCAUUAAAGGUUAAGUGUUUGAAGUGUAUUAUUCACUUAUUCCCCUUAAAAAUAGACACAUUUAUA